Molecule: non-coding RNA, 2533 nt
Organism: Sus scrofa (pig)
Lineage: Eukaryota; Metazoa; Chordata; Mammalia; Artiodactyla; Suidae
Source: RefSeq, a predicted model, not a curated record
AAUAGCAACAACAACAACAACAACAAAAGACAAAAAGACAAAAAUAAAAUAAAAUAAAAUAAAUAUCUAGUCCAAAGUUCAUACUCUAGGAGAUUGUUAUUUUGGUGGCGCACAAUGAACCCUGCCUCCCCCGUAGCCAUGCUCUUGUGUAAUCCUCUCCCCUUGAUGCUAGGCUGGACCUGUCCCUGCUUUAAACAAUAGAUGUGGGGGAAAAAAAGAACUUUAAGAAGCCUUUGCAGUGAGAACAUUGGAAUUACCAGAGACUGAGACUGGACACAUGGAAAAUGGAGACUAUUAAGAAAUCCCCCACCUGUUUGUGUUCUGGGAAACGGCUUCCAACAAAGAAGUGCUCUUGCCCAGCAACCUCCAUUUUUGUCCUGUAGGAGAAACACCAUGUAAGAAAUCCAACUACUCCGACACCACCAAGCUGUAAGAAGUCUCACCUAGCCACUUGGAGGGGCCAAAUGGAGGAAAACUGAGGCCCCUGCUAACAUCCCCACCUGUGCUCAACCUGCUACACAGCCCCACCAUCUUCUCACAGCAGAUCCUUAUCAUCCACCUCUGAGCUACUGAGGAUUUGUCAGUUCCUUCUGUAUUGCAAGAGUCACACAUGCACCCAGAGUACCUUAGAGGUUUAUCGUCAAGCAGGAAGAGACCAGCCCAGGCAUCUCCUAUCACCUGCAUCCCAGUGGUUUCAAGGCUGGGAGGCCCAGCUGACUUAAGGAGAGUCACAGCAAUAAGCCUAUCCUUUAGGCCAUAACACUAGCUCUAAGGAUGUAAUUUAUCUCUGGCCUCCUCAUCCCUAGUCUCCAAGAGAAAACCUGAGGGGUCUGCUCUUCCCCCAUCGACUGGUACAGGGCACCAUGAGCGGGCUGAGAGUGGCCUGCAGUCUAAGAAAAAGAAACUAAUGUAAUAAAGUUGAUGAUUAAUAACUCCAUAAAACACCAACAUGGUAUGUAAAUUCAUUUCAUUAUGCUACAUGUAAAGAAAUUCAUAUUUUUAAAGUAGAAAAUUAAAUUUGAACCAACAUCAGUGUACUUAGGGAAACAGUGAUUGAGAUACUUGACUGGCUCCUUGUGUACUAGUUGGCUCUCUGCCUGGCGUCUGUGUGCAUUCUCUGUCUUGGGAAAUGGCAGAAAGCGAGGCACAAAAAUUGGAGAUGUUAUCUAAAAGAGGGAGAAGUUGAGGGGACAGCCCGGGUCAAGGGCUAGCCUCUCCUUUGCCUACCUGAAACUGAGAGCAUUUAUGUCUUGAACCUAGCCGAAACCCAGAUUGGGACUUGAACGCAUGGUUUUUCACUCACCCGGUGUCUGGACUUACUGAGGUUCAGAUUCUUUGUGCCUCAGUGCAGAAAGAAUUCAGCAAGAGACAAAGUAAUUUAGUAAGAUUGGAUGCAAAAGAUGCAAGCAGUCAGGCAAGGAGGGCCUGCCCCAAGGAUUAUGUGAGCCACAGUUUUAUAAUCCAAGGGGAUUGAGGGUGGGAAAAGAUGCCUCUUCCUCUUUCUUCAGGUAAUAACUCCUUGGUAUCUGGUAAGAGUAUUUAACCCUAUAAGAUCAAACCAGGACUGUCCUGGUGCUUAUUCAAAUCAGCAGAAGGUCCUUAAACUCCUGCCCUUGGUCUGAACUUGAAGAAUACAGGCCUCACCCCAUCCCCCACCCAGUGACCUGAGGCAUAUCUCAUGCCUCCACUAGUUCAGCAAGCCUGCCUGGUUCUGAUGGCCCUCUUGAGCAAUUAUUAACAUGCAGUGGUCUCCCAGAGUUAUAUCGGUUUCCCUCCACUGUCUUAUGGUCCCUUACUGGGACUCCUACAACUACCUGUUUAACUAUCCUACUCCAUCUCUAUCCUAAAGAGACAGCCUGGGCCCACUCUGUCCAGCCAAUAUCCACACCCCCUCUCCUGGCUCUUUUCUCCUCCACUCCACUCUCCUGGGUAAAUACACUAUCAUUAGAUCCUGAAAUUGCCAUAGUGGCCUAAACUAAGAUGAUAACAAGAUACACAUCUGGCAGCAAGAGGGACAUGGUAAGCACAGGCUUCAUGUGGAGCUGACAUUAGGAAUCACCUUGGCCUUUGCUACCCUGUUUCAUCCAUGAAAGUACCUCGCUCAGAUCUACAGCAGGGAGCUGAGUUGAUUUUUCAGCCUAAACUACCCCUUGGAUCCACCACUGUGGUUGUGCCAAGGCCUCAUUCCCCCUGGGCUCAUCCCAGUUGCUGACUGAGCACAGCACCUCUAAUGGGCGGCUUUGGCUCAAGAAUUCUGCACAGGCCUGGCCAAAAUGUUCUUAGAACUGCCUGCAGUCUUAGGAACUUCCUAGUCAAGCUCCCUUCCUUCCUUGCCUUUUAGCUUUUACAGGCAUCAGACCUGAAUCAUGGUCCAAAGUCCCUCUCCCCUGCUCCUGCUUCCUUCCUUUUAUCCUUCACCCAUGUUUUCUCAAACAUUUGGACAUCCCAUCCCAUCUUGGCAUCUGCUGCCUUGAGGACCUGAACUGAAACCCAUCCCUCAGACUAGAGCCACAGUUCAAAGGUAAAAAUCACC